RNAcentral lists this transfer RNA (358 nucleotides) under uncultured Microcystis sp. RNAcentral's name for it is "partial 16S-23S ribosomal RNA intergenic spacer". The stretch from base 133 to 206 matches the Rfam family "tRNA". The record is from RNAcentral. Lineage: Bacteria; Bacillati; Cyanobacteriota; Cyanophyceae; Chroococcales; Microcystaceae.
AAGGGAGACCUAAUUCCGGUAGGAGACGAAAAAAAAGUAGUCCCAACCAAGAAUCAAUCCCAAAAGGUCGGAGCGAGGUAUGAGGCUUUCAAACUAGGUUCUGGGUCCAUAAAAGACCUGAAUCAGGAACAAGGGCUAUUAGCUCAGGUGGUUAGAGCGCACCCCUGAUAAGGGUGAGGUCCCUGGUUCGAGUCCAGGAUGGCCCACCUGCACAGGUGGCAAAAACAAGAGAAGCUCCGAAUCAGCACCUUAUCUUAUAUACAUAUAUAAGAGAGAAUGCUGGCUCUGAGUACAGAGUCCAGAGGAACCUUGAAAACUGCAUAGAGCUAGGUGAAAAAGCCAAAAAAGAAGACCGCAA